Molecule: long non-coding RNA, 225 nt
Filed under: Malus domestica (apple)
Lineage: Eukaryota; Viridiplantae; Streptophyta; Magnoliopsida; Rosales; Rosaceae
Description: long non-coding RNA (MDOM_LNC007733)
Source: RNAcentral
UCGGAUUCAAGUGCUGAGAGACUCUUUUAAUAGCCAUAUUACUAGAAAUAACUUGGAUACAACUUGUAGUAUACAACAUAUUGCUAGGCUAAUGAAUGAAAAGACAAAAACAAAGAGGGUCAGGCAAGGUUUAACCUUGUCGGGCAAGGCUGAUCGUCUUGCAACUUCCUAUCUUUGUGGUUUAUCAAGAGGUUUGAAAGCUUAGAAAAAAGGUUGGGAGGUGAG